Molecule: small RNA, 127 nt
Filed under: Marmota monax (woodchuck)
Lineage: Eukaryota; Metazoa; Chordata; Mammalia; Rodentia; Sciuridae
Source: RNAcentral
GCCGGGCAUGGUGGUGCACACCUGUAAUCCCAGUGGCUGGGGAGGCUGAGGCAGGAGGGUUGUGAGUUCAAAGCCAGCCUCUGCAAACAACUAAAGCGCUAAGCAACUCAGUGAGACCCUGUCUCUA